CUCCAUUAUUCGCAUCUUUCAACAAACCAACAGAAUGCAACAUCUUCCACCCUCUGGGGGAAGAGGAAAGAUCCUCAAUAAUGAUCAAGAGCUUGCCAUUGUAGAAAUGGUUGUUGCAAAUAAUGCAAUAAAACUGCAUGAAAUUAAAACUAGAAUUGUGGAGGACCAUGAGAUAUUUGGCAAUAUAGAAAGCAUCAGCCUCACAACCAUUAGACGGACAUUGUCCAAACACAGAGUGCGGAUGAAGCAGCUCUACACUGUUCCCUUCAGAGGAACAGUGAGAGAGUCAAGGAGCUACGACGACAAUAUGUCCAGAGAGUUAUGGAAUUGAAGGCCAACCAGGCCCCUCAUGAAUUCAUUUACAUAGAUGAGGCAGGAUUCAAUCUAUCCUAAAGGCGUCGACGUGGACGAAAUAUAAUUGGAAAAAGGGCCACAGUUGAUGUGCCAGUACAGAGAGGGGCAAACAUUACCAUGUGUGCAGCAAUGGCAAAUGCAGGAUUACUCCUUCACAGAUGUCAGGUUGGACCCUAUAAUACCGAGCGCCUCCUUGCCUUUCUCAAUGAUCUCCACCAGCACCUGGUACCAGAGCAGGAUCAGGAAGGUGAAAACAUGAGGACCUUUGUAAUUACCUGGGACAAUGUUGCUUUCCAUCAUUUGCAAGCAAUAACAGCAUUACCCAAGACUGGUAAGUUACUUCCUUCCACCCUAUUCACCUUUCCUCAACCCCAUAGAGGAGUUCUUUUCUGCAUGGAGGUGGAAGGUUUAUGACCAUCAGCCACAUGACCAGAUGUCCCUCCUUGAAGCCAUGGAUGCUGGCUGCAG
Long non-coding RNA from Tachysurus fulvidraco (yellow catfish), 822 nucleotides. RefSeq lists it as uncharacterized. The record is from RefSeq and is a predicted model, not a curated record. NCBI's taxonomy places the organism in Eukaryota, Metazoa, Chordata, Actinopteri, Siluriformes, Bagridae. The transcript is spliced from 3 exons.